This 316-nucleotide long non-coding RNA is filed under the name Canis lupus dingo (dingo). RNAcentral's name for it is "lncRNA (ENSCAFG00020015545.1)". Lineage: Eukaryota; Metazoa; Chordata; Mammalia; Carnivora; Canidae. The record is from RNAcentral.
GGGGCGGCGCGAGGACUCGGCGGCGGCCCCCUCCCCGCGGGCCCGGGAGCCGACGCCGGCUGGGGCCGCACCUCCGGGACCGGGCAGCGCGGCCGAGAAAUCGCCGGCUGGACAUCCAGAGCACCUAGCCUGUUUUUUUCUGCAUCUUGAAUUGAGCAUUAACAGGACUCUUGAAGUUGCUCCAGGGCCAGUGGUGACCAGAUGAGGACUGGAGUCAAGUGUGCAGAGUCUUGGCGAUUAACAUGGAAACCAAACUGACCCAGGGUUAAGUAAAGGCUUAAUCCAGGAGAAGAACUUGACAGGUGAGGCUACGGGG